This 1284-nucleotide ribosomal RNA is filed under the name Paulhutchinsonia pilosicollis. Its description in RNAcentral is "16S ribosomal RNA". The stretch from base 850 to 1220 matches the Rfam family "Archaeal large subunit ribosomal RNA", at positions 2147 to 2719 of the family's 2987-position model. Lineage: Eukaryota; Metazoa; Arthropoda; Insecta; Coleoptera; Cerambycidae. The record is from RNAcentral.
UUUUUACUUUUAUUUUUUGUUUAGAUUUGUUUAUUUUUAAUAUAAGAAAAUUAAUGUUUUAUUAUUUUUUUAGAAAAAAUUUUUUUAAUUAUAGUUGAUUUGUAUCGUGAGAGAAUUUUGUUUAAAUUUUUAAAGGAAAAAUUUAAUUUUUGUACCUUGUGUAUCAGGGUUUAUUAAAAAAAAAUUAUUUAUUUAAUUUUCUCGAAUUCAGAAGAGCUAAUUAUUUAUUUAUUUUAUUGUUGAAUAAAUAUUUUCAAUAAAUAGUUAGAAAUGAAACGUUAUUCGUUUUUGAAUAUAUCUAGUUUUUUUAGAAAUAAAUUUAAUUUAGUCAGUUUUAAUUAAUUAACUAAAUUUUUAGUUUAUUAUUUGAAUUGAGAUAUACUUAAGGGGAUGAGCUUUUAAGUAAAAGAUUUAUAAAUUAUUUAUUUAUAUUGAAAUUGUAGGAUUAUAAGUUUCCGUCACUAAAAGAAUGUUAUAAUUUAUUUAGGGGGUUUUAUUAUUUAUAUUUAUUUUAAAUUUUUUAUAAAAAUUUAUUUUUUAAUUUUUUAUAAUUAGUAAUAAUGAUAAAAUUAGUAUAAUUUAUUUUAUUUUUAUUUAUAAAAUUUUAGGUUAAGCAAAGGAAUUCGGCAAAAGAUUUUUCACCCGUUUAUUAAAAACAUGGCCUUUUGAUAAUGAUUUAAGGUCUAGCCUGCCCACUGAGUAGUUAAAUGGCCGCGGUAUACCUGACCGUGCGAAGGUAGCAUGAUCACUAGUUUUUUAAUUGAAAGCUUGAAUGAAUGGUUGGAUGAGAAAAUAACUGUCUCUGUUUAAAUUUUUUGAAUUUUAUCUUUAAGUAAAAAAGCUUAGAUAUUAUUAAAAGACGAGAAGACCCUAUAGAGUUUAAUAAUUUUUUGUACUCGGGCUUUUAGUAUUAUCACCCUAAAAUAUAAAAAUUUAUUUGGUUGGGGAGAUUGAAAAAUUUAAUUAACUUUUUCUUUAUUUGAACAUUAAUUUAUGAUUAUUUGAUCCAUUUUUUUUGAUUAUAAGAUAAAAUUACCUUAGGGAUAACAGCGUAAUCUUUUCUGAGAGUUCCAAUCGAAGGGAAGGUUUGCGACCUCGAUGUUGGAUUAAAAUUAAUUUUGGGUGCAGAAGCUCGAAAUUUUAGGUCUGUUCGACCUUUAAAAUUUUACAUGAUCUGAGUUUAAACCGGUGUGAGCCAGGUUGGUUUCUAUCUUUAAUAAAAUCGGAUACUUUAGUACGAGAGGACCGAGUAUUUGGUAAUUUACUUUAAUUUUGAAUAUUAUU